RNAcentral lists this ribosomal RNA (332 nucleotides) under uncultured eukaryote. RNAcentral describes it as "partial 18S ribosomal RNA". It matches the Rfam family "Eukaryotic small subunit ribosomal RNA", at positions 1470 to 1796 of the family's 1831-position model. The record is from RNAcentral.
CCCUUAGAUGUUCUGGGCUGCACCCGUGCUACACUGGCAGGUUCAGCGAGCUUCAUGCCCUGAUCUGAAAGGAAUGGGAAAUCUUUUCAAAACCUGCCGUGCUUGGGAUAGAUGUUUGUAAUUAUUCAUCUUCAACGAGGAUUGCCUUGUAAGCGCACGUCAUCAGCGUGCAUUGAAUACGACCCUGUAUUCUGUACACACCGCCCGUCGCUCCUACCGAUUGAAGUUUUCGGUGAGUUGACAGGAGGAUUUUUUUGAAACUGGUUCGCCAGUGGAUUUUAGAUCCAAAUGCCAACGAAUCGAUGGCUUUAGAGGAAGGAGAAGUCGUAACA